GUAAUCAAAUUUAAAACAACUCAAAGAAAUUUCAAACAAACAAUAAAAUUCUUAAAGAAAUAUUAGAAUGAUCACAAAUAUUACUCAAAUAUAUGUCAAUUCAACCUUAAUUUAAUUCUAGUUAAAACCCUAUUGAAUUUCACUCAAAUUUUAGACCAAACCUAAUUAAAUCUUAAAUCCUAAUAAAUCCUAAACCCUAAGUCAAAUCCUAAAUCCUAAGUCAAAUCCUAAACAAACCUUAAAUUAAACCCUAAAUCAAACCCUAUUUCAAACCCUAAACCUUAAACCAAACCCUAAACCAAACCCUAAACCAAACCCUAAAUCCUAAUCCAAACUCUAAUCCAAUCCUAAACUCUAAUCCAAACCCUAAACUCUAAACCAAACCUUAAAUCAAACCCUAACCAAAUCCUAAUCCAAACCCUAAAUCAAAUCCUAACCAAACCCUAAAUCCUAAUCCAAAUCCUAAUCCAAAUCCUAAAUCAAACCCUAACCAAACCCUAAAUCCUAACCCAAAUCCUAAUCCAAUCCUAAAUCCUAAUCCAAACCCUAAAUCAAACCCUAAUCAAACCUUAAUCCAAACCCUAAACUCUAAAUCAAAUCCUAAAUCGAACCCUAGUCAAAUCCUAAUCCAAAUCCUAGUAAUUCCUAUGACAGAUUUAAACCUCAAUAUCUAAUGAAUAAA
This 682-nucleotide long non-coding RNA is filed under the name Physcomitrium patens. Its description in RNAcentral is "long non-coding RNA (PPAT_LNC001918)". Lineage: Eukaryota; Viridiplantae; Streptophyta; Bryopsida; Funariales; Funariaceae. The record is from RNAcentral.